UUGAAAUAAACCUGAUAAGUUGUUGCUGGUUCUCCAGGGAAUAUUGUGCACACUUGUCAUCUUUAUAUCUCCACCUGUGCACCUUUUGUAGACCUGGAUAUCUCUCCAAGCGCUUGCAUUUGGGUUUGAGGAUUGAUUUCAUUAUCUUUUCCUUACAUUUCCAGGCCUAUGUUUCUUCAUAUACUCCAAUGUAUGUUAUAGAAUGUAAUAAAUGGGUCUUUGUGGCCUUAUAAACCAAUA
RNAcentral lists this unclassified non-coding RNA (240 nucleotides) under uncultured Cortinarius. Its description in RNAcentral is "sequence contains ITS1". The record is from RNAcentral. Lineage: Eukaryota; Fungi; Basidiomycota; Agaricomycetes; Agaricales; Cortinariaceae.